This 216-nucleotide ribosomal RNA is filed under the name Glomeromycotina sp. RNAcentral describes it as "partial small subunit ribosomal RNA". The stretch from base 40 to 216 matches the Rfam family "Eukaryotic small subunit ribosomal RNA", at positions 686 to 864 of the family's 1831-position model. The record is from RNAcentral. Lineage: Eukaryota; Fungi; Glomeromycota.
GGGUCAGUAGGUUGGUCGUACUACCGGUACGUACUGGUCUCACUGAUUCCUCCUUCCUGAAGAACCGUAAUGCCAUUAAUUUGGUGUUGCGGGGAAACAGGACUGUUACUUUGAAAAAAUUAGAGUGUUUAAAGUAAGCUAACGCCUGAAUACAUUAGCAUGGAAUAAUGAAAUAGGACGAUCGAUCCUAUUUUGUUGGUUUCUAGGAUUGACGUA